AUGCAAAAUCGCCAAAUCUGUUAAUUCGCUGAAAGUAGCUGGUUAUUUCUUUUUAGAUGCAUCAUUUAUACACUCCAUUCUUUUCAUGAAUAUCCUAGUUUUUACUAUUCCAAUAGAAAGCUGUGCCUCCACUCUCCCCGUUCUUUUCAUUCUGAAGUUCUUUGUUUGUUCAAUAUGAAAUUCCUAAAAAAUUCCCAGCAUUUUUACUGGGCAGUCUGUACCAGAGAAAAUUACACUGAACCCCAAUCUUGCUUUAUUCUUGAAUCUUGACAUUGGUUUGUUUCUCUUUAACCCUAACUGUUUAGCAUUUGGCAUGAUGACAUUGUUUUUCUCUGAAUAUGGUUAAGUCCAAUGCGCUACAGAUUUUCUCCGCUAUUAUAGUCUGGAAAGGUGGAGUCAUUGAGGGA
This 407-nucleotide unclassified non-coding RNA is filed under the name Hevea brasiliensis (rubber tree). Lineage: Eukaryota; Viridiplantae; Streptophyta; Magnoliopsida; Malpighiales; Euphorbiaceae. The record is from RNAcentral.